Long non-coding RNA from Neopelma chrysocephalum (saffron-crested tyrant-manakin), 333 nucleotides. RefSeq lists it as uncharacterized. NCBI's taxonomy places the organism in Eukaryota, Metazoa, Chordata, Aves, Passeriformes, Pipridae. The transcript has 3 exons. The record is from RefSeq and is a predicted model, not a curated record.
AGGCUGCGCCUGUCCCGCCCCCACGGCCGAGGCUCCGCCCCCCGCCCCGCCCCCGCCGUGCCCGCGGGGCUGCAGCGACCAGGGCCGGUGCGAGCGGGGCCGGUGCCGCUGCUUCCCGGGCUUCAGCGGCCCCGACUGCGGCACCCCCGCCUGCGCCCCCGGCUGGGGGGGCGUCCACUGCGACAUCGAGGUGCCCGCAGUGACACCACGGUUGGCCACCCGCACCUCGACAUCCCUGCGUGUCACCUGGCCCCGGCCCUCCCCCCCCUCCCGACGGCUACCGGGUGACACUUGUUCCCCUGGAUGACCCCAUGGCCAUGACGACGCAUGAGC